CAAGACGUAGCCUUAACGAAAGCAUUCAGCUUACACCUGAAAGAUAUCUGUUCACUCCAGAUCGUCUUGA
RNAcentral lists this transfer RNA (70 nucleotides) under Pycnonotus sinensis. RNAcentral describes it as "tRNA-Val". It matches the Rfam family "tRNA". Rfam says of the family: Transfer RNA (tRNA) molecules are approximately 80 nucleotides in length. Their secondary structure includes four short double-helical elements and three loops (D, anti-codon, and T loops). Further hydrogen bonds mediate the characteristic L-shaped molecular structure. tRNAs have two regions of fundamental functional importance: the anti-codon, which is responsible for specific mRNA codon recognition, and the 3' end, to which the tRNAs corresponding amino acid is attached (by aminoacyl-tRNA synthetases). tRNAs cope with the degeneracy of the genetic code in two manners: having more than one tRNA (with a specific anti-codon) for a particular amino acid; and 'wobble' base-pairing, i.e. permitting non-standard base-pairing at the 3rd anti-codon position. RNAcentral also lists the same sequence under 2 other names. Lineage: Eukaryota; Metazoa; Chordata; Aves; Passeriformes; Pycnonotidae. The record is from RNAcentral.